CUACGGGCUGCUGCAGUGGGGAAUAUUGCACAAUGGGCGCAAGCCUGAUGCAGCCAUGCCGCGUGUAUGAAGAAGGCCUUCGGGUUGUAAAGUACUUUCAGCGGGGAGGAAGGGAGUAAAGUUAAUACCUUUGCUCAUUGACGUUACCCGCAGAAGAAGCACCGGCUAACUCCGAGCCAGCAGCCGCGGUAAUACGGAGGGUGCAAGCGUUAAUCGGAAUUACUGGGCGUAAAGCGCACGCAGGCGGUUUGUUAAGUCAGAUGUGAAAUCCCCGGGCUCAACCUGGGAACUGCAUCUGAUACUGGCAAGCUGGAGUCUCGUAGAGGGGGGUAGAAUUCCAGGUGUAGCGGUGAAAUGCGUAGAGAUCUGGAGGAAUACCGGUGGCGAAGGCGGCCCCCUGGACGAAGACUGACGCUCAGGUGCGAAAGCGUGGGGAGCAAACAGGAUUAGAUACCCCCGUAGUC
Molecule: ribosomal RNA, 464 nt
Filed under: uncultured bacterium
Lineage: Bacteria
Description: partial 16S ribosomal RNA
Rfam family: Bacterial small subunit ribosomal RNA
Source: RNAcentral